This 400-nucleotide unclassified non-coding RNA is filed under the name soil metagenome. Its description in RNAcentral is "partial contains 5.8S ribosomal RNA, internal transcribed spacer 2, and large subunit ribosomal RNA". The stretch from base 1 to 122 matches the Rfam family "5.8S ribosomal RNA", at positions 35 to 154 of the family's 154-position model. The record is from RNAcentral.
GAUGAAGAACGUAGCGAAAUGCGAUACUUGGUGUGAAUUGCAGAAUCCCGUGAACCAUCGAGUCUUUGAACGCAAGUUGCGCCUCAAGCCAUUAGGUUGAGGGCACGUCUGCCUGGGCGUCACAUAUCGUUGCCUGAUGCCAGUUUCCUCGUGAUGGGUGACUGUGCAGGGCGAAUGAUGGCUUCCCGUGAGCAUUGUUGCCUCAUGGUUGGUUGAAAAUUGAGUCCUUGGUAGGGAGCGCCGUGAUAGAUGGUGGUUGAGUGACGAACGAGACCCAAUCAUGUGAGACCCCUACCGAAUUUGGCCUUCAUGACCCACAUGCGUCUUUGUAACGCUCAUGACGAGACCUCAGGUCAGGCGGGGCUACCCGCUGAGUUUAAGCAUAUCAAUAAGCGGAGGA